This is an RNA transcript of Cervus elaphus (red deer), 2859 nucleotides long. It is a transcript of the gene named chromosome 15 C10orf143 homolog, with no coding region annotated. The record is from RefSeq and is a predicted model, not a curated record. Lineage: Eukaryota; Metazoa; Chordata; Mammalia; Artiodactyla; Cervidae. The transcript has 5 exons.
GAUGGGGCGGCCGCCCCCUCAGGCUGCGCCUGCGCAGAGAUGCGGGGUCCUGGAAACCCAGUGAUGGUCCCAUGUGCUUAGGGCUGUUGUGGAGGCCUCGGAGGUUCUGUGUCCAAAGUCAAGGGCUGUCCCACCUUCUGCGCGCAGCUGUUCCUGAGUCAGACCGCCACGUGCAGGCACUGGGCUGGAUGUGGUAUGGGUGCCACGCCAGCAGACACUCCAGUCGUUUGCUGCGAGAGCGCAGGAAGCGGGCGUGCAGGAGGCUGGACGCCGCGGCGCCCGAGCGGGACUACCCCCAGGUGAGGGUGCGCAUUGCAGCGUCCGAGGGCAGCAAGGAGCCCGAGUCCCCAGAUGCCCAGCGCAGAGGCCGCCUGCCCUCACCACGGCCCAACAGCGACCAGGGCCAGCUAGGCAUAGGGGGUCCUCCGGAUGGCGGAAGGAGCCGGGCCCAGCCUUGCCCGAGGUGCAUCGCAGGAGAGUCUGGACAGAAGGCGAGCAGGUGCUUUCUCCCCCAGGCAGGGGAGGCGAAACCGAGCCCGGGACGGCGGGCCCGCAGAUCAGAAGGGAGUCUCCUGAGGCUGUGAGCCCCCAGCCGCUCCUGGCCCCUUCUCACCUCUGCAUUUACUGUGCCUUCAGCCACUCAGGUUAGAUCGCGCUUAUUUAUCAGGACUUAAUAGGACUCGUUUGUCUGCAAGUGGUUGGAAUGAAAUGGGAGCUGGCUGAGCAGCCAGGCGCUUAUUGCAAGGACCUGGAACCAUCUCUAAGAGCCACUUGGCCCUGGAAGAGCAAGAAUGAGUCAGGCCUGGAAGCAACACCCACGGCCACCAGUGCCUCUGGUCCCUCCGGACGCCUCUCUGCGCCUGCACUUGGCUUCCUUCACCCUUGCUUCCCAUCAGCCUUCCCCACAUGAUGGCCAGCGGUCCCCGAGUGGGUCUACAGCGCUCAUAGACCAAAACCUCAGGGCAGAGACUCAUCAGCCAGGUCCCCCAGCACCCCCACCCCAUCGUCAGAGGGCAGUUGAGGACAAGGAAUUGCCCGUGGAAAGGUGAGGGACUGGCAGGUAAAUCUGGAAGGUCUGCUUCCCUCCACUGUCACUCAGGGCUCGCUUGGCUCUGGGAUAGCACUUGGAAGCCAUCAGGCUAAUGUUUGGGCUUCGCUGGUGGCUCAGACGGUAAAGGAUCUGCCUGAAGUGCAGGAGACCCGGGUUCAAUCCCUGGGUUGGGAAGAUCCCCUGGAGGAGGGCAUGGCAAUCCACUCCAGUAUUCUUGCCUGGAGAAUCCCCAUGGACAGAGGAGCCUGGUGGGUUACAGUCCAUGUGGUCAGAGUUGGACACAACUGAGUGACUAAGCAUAGCACAGGCUAAUGUCAGUCACUUGGAAAUCCUUUCUGUGGAGGCCUGGGCAAGUGCCUGGCGUGGAGCCAAAGUCAGAUGCUGGAGCUGUCUGGCCCACAUGGAGCCGUGAGAGUUGCCAACGUGCUGGGUCCAACAGGUCCUCCCAGGCCCCGCAGGCGUCCAAGACAGGGGCUGCAGUGAGAGCUGUUCUGUAGACCCAGAAAGUCUGUGCCCUCGGAGGGCCAUCCCCGCCUGACUGGCCAGCUUGCCCUGGACCAGUACCACAGCCCUCCCUGCUCCCUGGACUGGGGGUUCCUGGACCACCAGAGAUGAUGCCCUUUCAUGAAGUCAACCUCACGUCCCCACGCACUCUUCAAAGGCAGCAGAACCCAGCUGUUGACCUCCUGGAAGAGAAGGGGAGAUGGGGAGAGCGGGGGAGGAGAGGUGAUGCUGAGAUCUCAGGAGGAGCACGGAUGGGGAGGGGGCGGGGCCCGUGCAGGCCGAGGGGUGAGCAGAAAGGGGAGGGAACUGCCCCAGAGGAGGGCCGCCUGGGGCCUCUGUGCACAGAGCCCGAAAUGGCAGAGCUUCAGCGGGGAUUUUGAUGACCUGGCUUUCCUGGUAGCUCAGCUGGGAAAGAAUCCGCCUGCAACGCAGGAGACCCUGGUUUGAUUCCUGGGUUGGGAUGAUCCCCUGGAGAAGGGACAGGCUACCCACUCCAGUAUUCUGGCCUGGAGAAUUCCAUGGACUAUACAUACAGUCGCAAAGAGCCGGACAUGACGGGGUGACUUUCACUUUCACUCACUAGGCCAACAGUAAAUGAGGGUUUGUUGGCUCGAGCUGGAGAGUCAGACAUGCUGGCUUCAGGCCCGGAAUGACCCACAUCAGGGUUUGGCAAACUCUGGCCCUUGGGACAAGUCUGUUCUUGUAAAUGCGUUGUCACCGGAGCAUGACUGAAGACACGCAGGUGUCCUCCGUGUCUGCUUUCUGCUUCCACACGACAGAGGCCGGGCUGAGGAGUUGUGCCAAAGACCGUCGACUGGCAGAAUCUGAAACACGUGUCACACGGCCCUUUCCCUGACAGCUUUGUUCACCCCAGCUCCAGAGCUGUGCCCUCCAACAGCGUGACGCUGGAAAGGAGUCUUAUCUGAACGAAGAUGGGCUACGGCUCCUGAGGGCCCGACUGACCACCCAGGCUGCUCCUGCCCAGCACCCCACCUCGUUCAGAUGAAGCAUCGGCGGGUUUUCCUGACUGGCAAAGUUGUCCUAGAAAGGCACCCUGCCCCUCGCAGACUGACUGGGGGAAGCCAAAACAAAGUGUGAACUCCAAGAGUCUCCUACGUAUUAUGAUGUUCUAUGCUCCGUGGAACACUGCAGUGCGCUUGUUAUGGUUUAUUUCAUAAGUAGAUGCACCUUAAGAACAAUUUAUUCCUAUAUUAAUACCUCUUAAGGGAGACAUCAUCAGCCUGACUAGAAAGCAUGAUUAUGGUAAAGUCCUGGGGAAGACCUGGCAAAGCGAGGCAGCAAAA